RNAcentral lists this ribosomal RNA (473 nucleotides) under Priestia megaterium. RNAcentral describes it as "bacterial SSU rRNA". It matches the Rfam family "Bacterial small subunit ribosomal RNA", at positions 27 to 481 of the family's 1533-position model. Lineage: Bacteria; Bacillati; Bacillota; Bacilli; Caryophanales; Bacillaceae. The record is from RNAcentral.
GGAUGAACGCUGGCGGCGUGCCUAAUACAUGCAAGUCGAGCGAACUGAUUAGAAGCUUGCUUCUAUGACGUUAGCGGCGGACGGGUGAGUAACACGUGGGCAACCUGCCUGUAAGACUGGGAUAACUUCGGGAAACCGAAGCUAAUACCGGAUAGGAUCUUCUCCUUCAUGGGAGAUGAUUGAAAGAUGGUUUCGGCUAUCACUUACAGAUGGGCCCGCGGUGCAUUAGCUAGUUGGUGAGGUAACGGCUCACCAAGGCAACGAUGCAUAGCCGACCUGAGAGGGUGAUCGGCCACACUGGGACUGAGACACGGCCCAGACUCCUACGGGAGGCAGCAGUAGGGAAUCUUCCGCAAUGGACGAAAGUCUGACGGAGCAACGCCGCGUGAGUGAUGAAGGCUUUCGGGUCGUAAAACUCUGUUGUUAGGGAAGAACAAGUACRAGAGUAACUGCUCGUACCUUGACGGUACCUA